RNAcentral lists this ribosomal RNA (455 nucleotides) under Chloroflexota bacterium. Its description in RNAcentral is "bacterial SSU rRNA". It matches the Rfam family "Bacterial small subunit ribosomal RNA", at positions 1065 to 1533 of the family's 1533-position model. The record is from RNAcentral. Lineage: Bacteria; Bacillati; Chloroflexota.
CCGUGAGGUGUUGGGUUAAGUCCCGCAACGAGCGCAACCCUCGUCGUUAGUUGUAUUUCUCUAGCGAGACCGCUGCGUACAACGCAGAGGAAGGUGGGGACGAUGUCAAGUCAGCGUGGCCCUUACGCCCAGGGCGACACACACGCUACAAUGGCCGGUACAACGGGCAGCCACUGCGCGAGCAGGAGCGAAUCCCUCAAAACCGGCCCCAGUUCGGAUAGCAGGCUGAAACUCGCCUGCUUGAAGCCGGAGUUGCUAGUAACCGCAGGUCAGCCAUACUGCGGUGAAUACGUUCUCGGGCCUUGUACACACCGCCCGUCACGUCAUGGGAGUGAGUAACACUUGAAGUCGGUGCGCGAACCUUCGGGACGCAGCCGCCGAAGGUGGGACUCGCAACUGGGACGAAGUCGUAACAAGGUAGCCGUAGCGGAAGCUGCGGCUGGAUCACCUCCUUU